UACGUAGGGAGCGAGCGUUGUCCGGAUUCAUUGGGCGUAAAGAGCUCGUAGGCGGCUUGAUAAGUCGGAUGUGGAACCUCCAGGCUCAACCUGGAGUCGCCAUCCGAUACUGUCAUGGCUAGAGUCCGGUAGGGGCCCACGGAAUUCCUGGUGUAGCGGUGAAAUGCGUAGAUAUCGGGAGGAACACCUGUGGCGAAAGCGGCUCACUGGACCAUAACUGACGCUGAUGCACGAAAGCUAGGGGAGCAAACAGG
RNAcentral lists this ribosomal RNA (254 nucleotides) under uncultured bacterium. Its description in RNAcentral is "partial 16S ribosomal RNA". It matches the Rfam family "Bacterial small subunit ribosomal RNA", at positions 524 to 776 of the family's 1533-position model. The record is from RNAcentral.